AAAAAAAGGGUGUAUUUUCACACUAAAAAUUCUCUAAAAAAAACUAAUUUUUUUUAAGAAAAAAUUAAAUUUCUCAUCUAAAAGAAACAGGUUCUUCCAUGAUCGUAGCCAACGACGGUUUCCUCGAUCUACACGCCAACCGAUAUUUCAUUUCUCUCUCCACCGGAAAAACCUCAACCUCACCUGAAUCCUGAUCUCCGGCAACAUUAUUUUCCGUCGCCGGCGAAAUCCUACCAUUUCCGCCGGAUAUUCUCUUCGCAGCGGAAUUAGCCGCCAGUAGAAUCACCGUCAUAUCAGUCGCCGUCACAACGGAAUUGACUCUCUUCAUCGGAAACAUAAUAUAAACACUACCAAACUCCAAAUCUUCAUCUGCCGAUAAAGCUGAAAAUCUCCUUCCGAUAUUCAACGAACUCGAAUCAACUAAAAAAUUACUUGGAUACUCCAUCAUGAUCUCUGCUGCUUUAAUCGGUUCUCGAAAUUGCCUGAUUUCACCUCCGGGAAGAACAACUCUCGAUGCUUUUGAAGUUUUAAUUGAUGGUAAAAUUGGGCAUGAAGUAAAAUUUCCCAUAGAAAAUUGAGUUUGAGUUUGAUUCAAUUGAGAGAAUUUUU
This 609-nucleotide unclassified non-coding RNA is filed under the name Hevea brasiliensis (rubber tree). Lineage: Eukaryota; Viridiplantae; Streptophyta; Magnoliopsida; Malpighiales; Euphorbiaceae. The record is from RNAcentral.